UUCGCAAUGCCCGAAAGGGUGACGAAGCGACGCCGCGUGCGGGAAGAAGGCCUUCGGGUUGUAAACCGCUGUCGGGAGUUAGGAAGUGCAAGGAUGUUAAUAGCGUUCUUGCUUGACUAAGGCUCCGGAGGAAGCCACGGCUAACUCUGUGCCAGCAGCCGCGGUAAUACAGAGGCGGCAAGCGUUGUUCGGAAUUAUUGGGCGUAAAGAGCACGUAGGCGGCUGUGUAAGUCGGUUGUGAAAGCCUUCCGCUUAACGGAAGAACGGCAUCCGAUACUGCAUGGCUUGAGUGCGGGAGGGGAGAGUGGAACUUCUGGUGGAGCGGUGAAAUGCGUAGAUAUCAGAAGGAACACCGGCGGCGAAAGCGGCUCUCUGGUCCGUAACUGACGCUGAGUGUGCGAAAGCUAGGGGAGCAAACGGGAUUAGAUACCCCGGUAGUCCUAGCCGUAAACGAUGGGCACUAAGUAGAGGGGUUUU
Molecule: ribosomal RNA, 477 nt
Filed under: uncultured bacterium
Lineage: Bacteria
Description: bacterial SSU rRNA
Rfam family: Bacterial small subunit ribosomal RNA
Source: RNAcentral